GGGUUGUGAGGUUAAGCGACUAAGCGUACACGGUGGAUGCCCUGGCAGUCAGAGGCGAUGAAGGACGUGCUAAUCUGCGAAAAGCGUCGGUAAGGUGAUAUGAACCGUUACAGCCGGCGAUGUCCGAAUGGGGAAACCCAGUGCAAUUCGUUGCACUAUCGUUAACUGAAUACAUAGGUUAACGAGGCGAACCGGGGGAACUGAAACAUCUAAGUACCCCGAGGAAAAGAAAUCAACCGAGAUUCCCCCAGUAGCGGCGAGCGAACGGGGAGCAGCCCAGAGUCUGAAUCAGCUUGUGUGUUAGUGGAACGGUCUGGAAAGUCCGACGGUACAGGGUGAUAGUCCCGUACACCAAAAUGCACAGGCUGUGAACUCGAAGAGUAGGGCGGGACACGUGGUAUCCUGUCUGAAUAUGGGGGGACCAUCCUCCAAGGCUAAAUACUCCUGACUGACCGAUAGUGAACCAGUACCGUGAGGGAAAGGCGAAAAGAACCCCGGCGAGGGGAGUGAAAAAGAACCUGAAACCGUGUACGUACAAGCAGUGGGAGCACCUUCGGGUGUGACUGCGUACCUUUUGUAUAAUGGGUCAGCGACUUAUAUUCUGUAGCAAGGUUAACCGUAUAGGGGAGCCGCAGGGAAACCGAGUCUUAACUGGGCGUUAAGUUGCAGGGUAUAGACCCGAAACCCGGUGAUCUAGCCAUGGGCAGGUUGAAGGUUGGGUAACACUAACUGGAGGACCGAACCGACUAAUGUUGAAAAAUUAGCGGAUGACUUGUGGCUGGGGGUGAAAGGCCAAUCAAACCGGGAGAUAGCUGGUUCUCCCCGAAAGCUAUUUAGGUAGCGCCUCGUGAAUUCAUCUUCGGGGGUAGAGCACUGUUUCGGCUAGGGGGUCAUCCCGACUUACCAACCCGAUGCAAACUACGAAUACCGAAGAAUGUUAUCACGGGAGACACACGGCGGGUGCUAACGUCCGUCGUGAAGAGGGAAACAACCCAGACCGCCAGCUAAGGUCCCAAAGUCAUGGUUAAGUGGGAAACGAUGUGGGAAGGCACAGACAGCCAGGAUGUUGGCUUAGAAGCAGCCAUCAUUUAAAGAAAGCGUAAUAGCUCACUGGUCGAGUCGGCCUGCGCGGAAGAUGUAACGGGGCUAAACCAUGCACCGAAGCUGCGGCAGCGACACUAUGUGUUGUUGGGUAGGGGAGCGUUCUGUAAGCCUGCGAAGGUGUGCUGUGAGGCAUGCUGGAGGUAUCAGAAGUGCGAAUGCUGACAUAAGUAACGAUAAAGCGGGUGAAAAGCCCGCUCGCCGGAAGACCAAGGGUUCCUGUCCAACGUUAAUCGGGGCAGGGUGAGUCGACCCCUAAGGCGAGGCCGAAAGGCGUAGUCGAUGGGAAACAGGUUAAUAUUCCUGUACUUGGUGUUACUGCGAAGGGGGGACGGAGAAGGCUAUGUUAGCCGGGCGACGGUUGUCCCGGUUUAAGCAUGUAGGCUGGUUAUCCAGGCAAAUCCGGAUAAUCAAGGCUGAGGUGUGAUGACGAGGCACUACGGUGCUGAAGUAACAAAUGCCCUGCUUCCAGGAAAAGCCUCUAAGCAUCAGGUAACAUUAAAUCGUACCCCAAACCGACACAGGUGGUCAGGUAGAGAAUACCAAGGCGCUUGAGAGAACUCGGGUGAAGGAACUAGGCAAAAUGGUGCCGUAACUUCGGGAGAAGGCACGCUGGUGUGUAGGUGAAGUCCCUGCGGAUGGAGCUGAGACCAGUCGAAGAUACCAGCUGGCUGCAACUGUUUAUUAAAAACACAGCACUGUGCAAACACGAAAGUGGACGUAUACGGUGUGACGCCUGCCCGGUGCCGGAAGGUUAAUUGAUGGGGUUAUCCGUAAGGAGAAGCUCUUGAUCGAAGCCCCGGUAAACGGCGGCCGUAACUAUAACGGUCCUAAGGUAGCGAAAUUCCUUGUCGGGUAAGUUCCGACCUGCACGAAUGGCGUAAUGAUGGCCAGGCUGUCUCCACCCGAGACUCAGUGAAAUUGAACUCGCUGUGAAGAUGCAGUGUACCCGCGGCAAGACGGAAAGACCCCGUGAACCUUUACUAUAGCUUGACACUGAACAUUGAGCCUUGAUGUGUAGGAUAGGUGGGAGGCUUUGAAGCGUGGACGCCAGUCUGCGUGGAGCCAACCUUGAAAUACCACCCUUUAAUGUUUGAUGUUCUAACGUUGGCCCCUGACCGGGGUUGCGGACAGUGUCUGGUGGGUAGUUUGACUGGGGCGGUCUCCUCCCAAAGCGUAACGGAGGAGCACGAAGGUUAGCUAAUCCUGGUCGGACAUCAGGAGGUUAGUGCAAUGGCAUAAGCUAGCUUGACUGCGAGCGUGACGGCGCGAGCAGGUGCGAAAGCAGGUCAUAGUGAUCCGGUGGUUCUGAAUGGAAGGGCCAUCGCUCAACGGAUAAAAGGUACUCCGGGGAUAACAGGCUGAUACCGCCCAAGAGUUCAUAUCGACGGCGGUGUUUGGCACCUCGAUGUCGGCUCAUCACAUCCUGGGGCUGAAGUAGGUCCCAAGGGUAUGGCUGUUCGCCAUUUAAAGUGGUACGCGAGCUGGGUUUAGAACGUCGUGAGACAGUUCGGUCCCUAUCUGCCGUGGGCGCUGGAGAAUUGAGGGGGGCUGCUCCUAGUACGAGAGGACCGGAGUGGACGCAUCACUGGUGUUCGGGUUGUCAUGCCAAUGGCACUGCCCGGUAGCUAAAUGCGGAAGAGAUAAGUGCUGAAAGCAUCUAAGCACGAAACUUGCCCCGAGAUGAGUUCUCCCUGAGACUUUAAGUCUCCUGAAGGAACGUUGAAGACGACGACGUUGAUAGGCCGGGUGUGUAAGCGCAGCGAUGCGUUGAGCUAACCGGUACUAAUGAACCGUGAGGCUUAACCUUACAACGCCGAAG
This 2923-nucleotide ribosomal RNA is filed under the name Klebsiella pneumoniae. Its description in RNAcentral is "bacterial LSU rRNA". It matches the Rfam family "Bacterial large subunit ribosomal RNA". The record is from RNAcentral. Lineage: Bacteria; Pseudomonadati; Pseudomonadota; Gammaproteobacteria; Enterobacterales; Enterobacteriaceae.